AGAGUUUGAUCAUGGCUCAGAGCGAACGCUGGCGGCAGGCUUAACACAUGCAAGUCGAGCGGAUGUAGCAAUACAUCAGCGGCAGACGGGUGAGUAACACGUGGGAACGUACCUUUUGGUUCGGAACAACACAGGGAAACUUGUGCUAAUACCGGAUAAGCCCUUACGGGGAAAGAUUUAUCGCCGAAAGAUCGGCCCGCGUCUGAUUAGCUAGUUGGUGAGGUAACGGCUCACCAAGGCGACGAUCAGUAGCUGGUCUGAGAGGAUGAUCAGCCACAUUGGGACUGAGACACGGCCCAAACUCCUACGGGAGGCAGCAGUGGGGAAUAUUGGACAAUGGGCGCAAGCCUGAUCCAGCCAUGCCGCGUGAGUGAUGAAGGCCCUAGGGUUGUAAAGCUCUUUUGUGCGGGAAGAUAAUGACGGUACCGCAAGAAUAAGCCCCGGCUAACUUCGUGCCAGCAGCCGCGGUAAUACGAAGGGGGCUAGCGUUGCUCGGAAUCACUGGGCGUAAAGGGUGCGUAGGCGGGUCUUUAAGUCAGGGGUGAAAUCCUGGAGCUCAACUCCAGAACUGCCUUUGAUACUGAAGAUCUUGAGUUCGGGAGAGGUGAGUGGAACUGCGAGUGUAGAGGUGAAAUUCGUAGAUAUUCGCAAGAACACCAGUGGCGAAGGCGGCUCACUGGCCCGAUACUGACGCUGAGGCACGAAAGCGUGGGGAGCAAACAGGAUUAGAUACCCCCGUAGUCC
Molecule: ribosomal RNA, 744 nt
Filed under: uncultured bacterium
Lineage: Bacteria
Description: bacterial SSU rRNA
Rfam family: Bacterial small subunit ribosomal RNA
Source: RNAcentral